Molecule: ribosomal RNA, 253 nt
Filed under: uncultured bacterium
Lineage: Bacteria
Description: partial 16S ribosomal RNA
Rfam family: Bacterial small subunit ribosomal RNA
Source: RNAcentral
UACGAAGGGGGCUAGCGUUGUUCGGAAUCACUGGGCGUAAAGGGCGCGUAGGCGGCCGAUCAAGUCGGGGGUGAAAGCCUGUGGCUUAACCACAGAAUGUCCUUCGAUACUGUUUGGCUUGAGACCGGAAGAGGUUAGUGGAACUGCGAGUGUAGAGGUGAAAUUCGUAGAUAUUCGCAAGAACACCAGUGGCGAAGGCGGCUAACUGGUCCGGUUCUGACGCUGAGGCGCGAAAGCGUGGGGAGCAAACAGG